UAGGAGUCUUUCAGAAGUCCAAUGAAAAUGUCAAGGCUCCUGGAAAAUUCCUCAUGCCCAGUGACUUUCUACUUACUCAGCUAAAACUCAGGAUUUUGUUGAAGAAAGGGAAAAUCGUAUUGUCAGACUCAAAAAUGUUGCCGUCUUAAUUCCACAUUUAAUGUGGUUUUGAUGUAAGACUUUGGUGGCUCUCCAUUAUACACAGAAUACAGCUCAAGAACCUUAGCAGGACACAGGAGACUUUCCUGAUGUGGCUACAGUGAGUGUGAUUGAACCCCAGUGUUCCAGGGCCAGUCUCUCCAUUCCUCACCUUCCUGAUUUUGUCAGAACGAAUAGCUCCCUGGUGGGCAAGGAAGAGGAGAGUACGACUGAAGAAUGAGUGUUGGUGGUCCAAAGAAGACAGGGUGUCAGACCUGGAUCAUAGCCUGAAAUCUCACCCCAACAGCUCUUGCUCCCUCUCACUUUAUUCUUCACAGAUUUUUUCCCCAAUGUAUCUUUUGUGGUGUAAUUCCAUUUUGGU
Molecule: long non-coding RNA, 520 nt
Filed under: Equus caballus (horse)
Lineage: Eukaryota; Metazoa; Chordata; Mammalia; Perissodactyla; Equidae
Description: lncRNA (ENSECAG00000040899.2)
Source: RNAcentral